This 518-nucleotide ribosomal RNA is filed under the name uncultured Archaeosporaceae. RNAcentral describes it as "SSU rRNA". It matches the Rfam family "Eukaryotic small subunit ribosomal RNA", at positions 569 to 1092 of the family's 1831-position model. Lineage: Eukaryota; Fungi; Glomeromycota; Glomeromycetes; Archaeosporales; Archaeosporaceae. The record is from RNAcentral.
AGCAGCCGCGGUAAUUCCAGCUCCAAUAGCGUAUAUUAAAGUUGUUGCAGUUAAAAAGCUCGUAGUUGAAUUUUGGGUUUGGCCGAUUGGUCCGUUCUUGUAACGAGUACUGGUCGGUUGGGCCUCACCGCCUGGUGAUGCGUAAUGCCCUUUAUUGGGUGUUGCGAGUAGCCAGGACCUUUACCUUGAAAAAAUUAGAGUGUUUAAAGCAGGCUUAUGCCGGAAUACAUUAGCAUGGAAUAAUAGAAUAGGACGAUGAUUCUAUUUUGUUGGUUUCUAGGAGCAUCGUAAUGAUUAAUAGGGAUAGUUGGGGGCAUUAGUAUUCAAUUGUCAGAGGUGAAAUUCUUGGAUUUAUUGAAGACUAACUACUGCGAAAGCAUUUGCCAAGGAUGUUUUCAUUAAUCAAGAACGAAAGUUAGGGGAUCGAAGACGAUCAGAUACCGUCGUAGUCUUAACCAUAAACUAUGCCGACUAGGGAUCGGGCGAUGUUGUUUCAAUGACUCGCUCGGCACCUUAUG